Molecule: RNA transcript, 1359 nt
Organism: Raphanus sativus (radish)
Lineage: Eukaryota; Viridiplantae; Streptophyta; Magnoliopsida; Brassicales; Brassicaceae
Exons: 3
Source: RefSeq, a predicted model, not a curated record
UCGACGAAACCAAAUAGAAGACGAUUAGGGAUUCCGCCGUAUUACUCUUCAGUCUUGAUCUUUCCCCUGGCGAUUCCUCUUCCGGUCACCAUCGUUUAUGAUCGCUUUCUGUUUUAUGUCUGCUGGGCUUGGCAGUUGGCUCGGUAACGUUUAGGUUACCUACUUCAUCUUCGAGACUGUAUGUUUCUUCUGUUUCCUCUUCUCCAAUCGUAAAAGUUUAUUACUUUCUUCCUUAUUCUUUUUUUUUUUAAACUGAACUUUCUUCCUUAUUCUUUUGUACCAACACCACCACCCCAUAAAGAUUUCUGAUUGAGUUUCUCAUCUGGGUUUGCUCCUUCUUAUUUUGAGUUUUAUUUUUAUUUUCUCAAACUCAUAGAAAUUUCGUCCAUACGUUCUCCUCUCCUCCAGAAGGGCGAGCCUUCUUCUCCUUUUCCAGACUCCAAAGUGACCCUUCGUUUCCUUUCUACCAACUCUCUCAUCUUCCGCGGCGAGAAGCUCCAGUUCGAGCGUUUUGUCUCGUGGAGAGACUGCUCCGCCGUCGUCGACCUUCAGCAAAGGAGUUUAUAAGGUUUCUGGGGUUGGGUGUCGUGGAGAACCGAAAUUGUGGUUUCAGUACUAGAUCCUCUCAGAUCAACGAUGCCUGGAAGUUAAGAAGAAGAGCUAAAUCUCAUGAGUUCCUACAUUGUAUUGUAUUUAGAGGCUAUUGUCAGAAUAUUUAGUGCAUGUUCAGAGAAAAUAAUAUUGAAAUCUGAGAAACUCUUAAGAGAAAAAGAAAAAGGAAGGCUCAAGCGGAGGGGACACAAUCAAGUUGGAUCUUGAAGAAGAAUUCUAGCUCUCUCCGGAAAAAUGAGGACUUUGAGUUAGUCUUUAUGUCUUCUUCUGCUGUUGGACUGCACCCUGGCCGCUGGUGCUGAUGGUGGUGAUGGGGGUGCUCCAACGUACAAGGAUCCAAAGCAGCCUUUAGGUGCAAGAAUCAGAGACCUGACGAACCGCAUGACUCUCCAAGAGAAGAUUGGUCAGAUGGUUCAGAUCGAAUAUAGCGUCGCCACAGCUGAUGUCAUGAAGAACUACUUCAUUGGUAUGAAAGCAAUCUUUGGAACUGUUUUUAAUUGUUCCAUAUAUUGUCUAACUGAGUUGAUCUUUAAUGUAUGUGUAGGGAGUGUGUUGAGUGGUGGAGGAAGUGUGCCUGCACCAAAGGCCACACCUGAAGCUUGGGUGAACAUGGUCAACGAGAUUCAGAAGGCUGCUCUUUCCACCCGCCUUGGGAUCCCCAUGAUCUAUGGAAUUGAUGCUGUCCACGGUCACAACAACGUGUAUGGUGCCACCAUUUCCCUCACAAUGUGGGCCUUGGAGUCACCA